AGGAAUGAACGCUAGCGGCAGGCCUAACACAUGCAAGUCGAGGGGUAACAGGGAGCUUGCUCCGCUGACGACCGGCGCACGGGUGCGUAACGCGUAUACAAUCUACCUUUUGCUACGGGAUAGCCCAGAGAAAUUUGGAUUAAUACCGCAUAGUAUAUUGAGAUCGCAUGGUUUUAAUAUUAAAGGUUACGGCAGAAGAUGAGUAUGCGUUCUAUUAGCUAGAUGGUGUGGUAACGGCAUACCAUGGCAACGAUAGAUAGGGGCCCUGAGAGGGGGAUCCCCCACACUGGUACUGAGACACGGACCAGACUCCUACGGGAGGCAGCAGUGAGGAAUAUUGGACAAUGGGCGAGAGCCUGAUCCAGCCAUGCCGCGUGCAGGAAAGACGGCCCUAUGGGUUGUAAACUGCUUUUAUACRGGAAGAAACACUUCUACGUGUAGAGGCUUGACGGUACUGUGAGAAUAAGGAUCGGCUAACUCCGUGCCAGCAGCCGCGGUAAUACGGAGGAUCCAAGCGUUAUCCGGAAUCAUUGGGUUUAAAGGGUCCGUAGGUGGAUAAUUAAGUCAGGGGUGAAAGUCUGCAGCUCAACUGUAGAAUUGCCCUUGAUACUGGUUGUCUUGAGUCAUUAUGAAGUAGUUAGAAUAUGUAGUGUAGCGGUGAAAUGCAUAGAUAUUACAUAGAAUACCAAUUGCGAAGGCAGAUUACUAAUAAUGUACUGACACUGAUGGACGAAAGCGUGGGGAGCGAACAGGAUUAGAUACCCUGGUAGUCCACGCCGUAAACGAUGGAUACUAGCUGUUCGGAUUU
This 808-nucleotide ribosomal RNA is filed under the name uncultured bacterium. RNAcentral's name for it is "bacterial SSU rRNA". It matches the Rfam family "Bacterial small subunit ribosomal RNA", at positions 26 to 831 of the family's 1533-position model. The record is from RNAcentral.